UUGGGGAAGAAGUACAUAAUAAACAAAAGAGCCUCCCCUGGGCAAUGGAUGGAUACACGUGAGAUGUCCAAGGUCAAUGGCAGUGACUGACCUUGACCAUGAUGAUGGCGCACAGAGGCUGUGAAGUCAGAAGCGUUUGGAGUCCUGCGGUUUCCACGUGGGCCAGCUGUGCUUGGGCAAUUCCGGUCAAGCCAGAUGCCAAAACCCAUUGCAGACACAGGAAGAGCCUCAUCGUCAAGUCUCCAAACAAGCAGUCGAAAAUCAAAAGAGAAGAUCUCAUAAACUACAAAUCAGGAUUGCCUUUGUCUUCAGAAUCAGUGAUGUCUGUACUCACGGGUUAGUUCUACUCCAUUUUCAGGGGCAUCUCUGUAUCAUUGCCCCCGAAAUGUAGAACUCAUCUUUGACCACAGUGAGAUGCUUCCCCAAACUUCCAGAUGCUGCAAUGAAUGGUAAGGCCAGAUGAAAGAGAAUCAGAUUUGUAUUCUGUUGAUAGAUACCCAGUGCAGGGCAUGGGGUGGGGGCCAGGCCUGUGAAAAAGAAUUCAGCUUCCUCAUUUCGUGGCAUUUAUUUGCUCAUUAUUGAAACUAACGAAACUGCCCAGGAGCCUUUUGGUUUUGCCUUUCUUUAGUGUGCCUUCUUUUCUAAAAACUGUCUCUUAUAAUCACUUCAUGUUACGCUGGAAGGUCCAUACCGAUUUUCGCUGAGAAUCACAGAAAUUUUCUUUUCAUAUUAAAAAAAAUUAAAUGAAAGGUUUAUACUUUUAUAGUUCUUUAUACUUUUCAAAAGCUUCACACACAUGAUUUCAUAUACUCUCCUGUAUGAUUUCAUAUACCCCCAUAUUGCCCUCCCCCCCACCCCGACCCCCUGCUGGUAACCUCUAGUUUGUUCUUUGUGAGUCUGUUUCUUUUUUGUUUUAGUCACCAGUUUCUUGUAUUUUUGAGAUUCCACAUAGAAGUGAUAUCAUACAGAAUUUAUCUCUCUCUGUCUGACUUAUUUCACUUAGCACAGGGUAGAACCAUAGGCUUUUACAGUUAGCAGACACCUGCCUGGAGUUUCUGGAAGUUUCCAUGUACACCUGGGCAGACUUAUUCGGCUGGCUCUAGGUGCUGCGGUCUCAGGCCACAGCCAUGGGAAGUGGAAGUGGUCUCCAGAUGUUAAGGUCCCCCUGGCCUGGCUCACCUCCCCUCCCUUAGAGAGGGCGUCCUUCACUCUCCAGUGAUACGGAGGCCUUAGGGAAGCUGCUUCCUCAGGGUUCAGAUCGUCUCUGGAAAGGACUCACACCUGAGUCUUGUGUUGCUCAUGAGUCAAAAGCCAGUGACCAACACUCUGCUAUACUCAGCACUUUAAUGACAAGGACUAACUAUGGGGUCAGGUGGCCCCUCUGAGGCACCUGCUCCCCUUAGAAUGAGUUCUUUCCCAAGAGGUUCCUUUGUUCUUCAAGCAAAUCCACAUCCUCUAGGCCGCCUUCCCACAACCCCCCGCUGCCCCCACCCCGUGUACGAUUUAUGUCUAUAAUUGAAUCCAAGAUGCACCCCAGAUCUGUACUCUUUGCCAUGUAGAAAUAUCAUCAAUUUGGAGUUCCUGUUGUGGCACAGCGAAAACGAAUCUGACUAGGAACCAUGAGGUUUCAGGUUCCAUCCCUGGCCUCAAUCACUAGUGGGUUAAGGAUCCAGCAUUGCCAUGAGCUGUGGUGUAGGUUGCAGACAUGACUCGGAUCCUGCGUUGUGUGGCUGUUGUGUAGGCUGGCAGUUGUAGCUCCAAUUUGACCCCUAGCCCGGGAACCUAAAAGGCAACCUGUGGCCCUAAAAACCAAAAAAGAAAAAAAAAAAAAAAAAAAAAAG
RNAcentral lists this long non-coding RNA (1841 nucleotides) under Sus scrofa (pig). Its description in RNAcentral is "lncRNA (ENSSSCG00030059270.1)". The record is from RNAcentral. Lineage: Eukaryota; Metazoa; Chordata; Mammalia; Artiodactyla; Suidae.